AGGUUCUUCUGUGAUAUGUUUUCAUGGUGUGGGAAUAAGACUUGGUGGUCUAAUACAGCUAAUACGAAGGUUAGCAUCACAGCUUGUCUGUAAAGAUUGAAGCUGGGAGUGGGCAUUGGAGCUGACUUUUAUGAUAACUGUGGCUGCAUAAAAGGGCUAUGUGAUUUUACUGUAACAGUAAAGAAUGUAAUUCAGACUAUUUUUGUGUAUGUUUGAGAAAAUGUUUAUAAUUUUUACAAAAAGAAAAAAAAAUUAUGUACAGGUUCUCCAUUUUCAACAAGAUUGGAAGUUGUAGGUUAAUAGGUCUUUGAAAUUUCAAAAAUUACUUUCCAUUUUCUGUUCAUACUCAUGUCUAGGCAAAACACUUCCAGUAGUUUAAGAAUGGAGAAUCUAAAAAAAAAGAGAAGAAAAAAAAAAAGAAAAAAAUGUUUAAUUAUUGAAAUGUUUUUUUAUUUUUGCAAAUUGUAAUAUAUUUUUUCACCUUUGUGUCAUUUUUAGCUGAGUUUAUAACGAAGGGUAUAUUAUUUUAAGAAUAUUUUACAAGAAGCAUAGUUGAAGAAUAUCUUGAUGAAAGUAGAUUGAUUGA
This is a long non-coding RNA of Mytilus californianus (California mussel), 586 nucleotides long. RefSeq lists it as uncharacterized. Lineage: Eukaryota; Metazoa; Mollusca; Bivalvia; Mytilida; Mytilidae. The transcript is spliced from 3 exons. The record is from RefSeq and is a predicted model, not a curated record.